Molecule: ribosomal RNA, 464 nt
Filed under: Vreelandella stevensii
Lineage: Bacteria; Pseudomonadati; Pseudomonadota; Gammaproteobacteria; Oceanospirillales; Halomonadaceae
Description: partial 16S ribosomal RNA
Rfam family: Bacterial small subunit ribosomal RNA
Source: RNAcentral
CCUACGGGCGGCAGCAGUGGGGAAUAUUGGACAAUGGGCGAAAGCCUGAUCCAGCCAUGCCGCGUGUGUGAAGAAGGCCUUCGGGUUGUAAAGCACUUUCAGUGGGGAAGAAAGCCUUGGGGCUAAUACCCUCGAGGAAGGACAUCACCCACAGAAGAAGCACCGGCUAACUCCGUGCCAGCAGCCGCGGUAAUACGGAGGGUGCGAGCGUUAAUCGGAAUUACUGGGCGUAAAGCGCGCGUAGGCGGUCUGAUAAGCCGGUUGUGAAAGCCCCGGGCUCAACCUGGGAACGGCAUCCGGAACUGUCAGGCUAGAGUGCAGGAGAGGAAGGUAGAAUUCCCGGUGUAGCGGUGAAAUGCGUAGAGAUCGGGAGGAAUACCAGUGGCGAAGGCGGCCUUCUGGACUGACACUGACGCUGAGGUGCGAAAGCGUGGGUAGCAAACAGGAUUAGAUACCCUAGUGUC